Molecule: non-coding RNA, 105 nt
Organism: Rhodocollybia butyracea
Lineage: Eukaryota; Fungi; Basidiomycota; Agaricomycetes; Agaricales; Omphalotaceae
Source: the annotation of a GenBank genome assembly
UCCUCCUUAGCUCAGUUGGUAGAGCGCGUCACUCGCAUUGGAUAUGCGUUUCGGUAUUGAUUGUUAUAUAAUGACGAGGCAGUCGUUCAAGUCGACUAGAAGGAA